RNAcentral lists this ribosomal RNA (506 nucleotides) under uncultured bacterium. Its description in RNAcentral is "partial 16S ribosomal RNA". It matches the Rfam family "Bacterial small subunit ribosomal RNA", at positions 30 to 523 of the family's 1533-position model. The record is from RNAcentral.
AUUGAACGCUGGCGGCAGGCCUAACACAUGCAAGUCGAACGGUAACAGGAAACAGCUUGCUGUUUCGCUGACGAGUGGCGGACGGGUGAGUAAUGUCUGGGAGACUGCCUGAUGGAGGGGGAUAACUACUGGAAACGGUAGCUAAUACCGCAUAACGUCGCAAGACCAAAGAGGGGGACCUUCGGGCCUCCUGCCAUCGGAUGUGCCCGGAUGGGAUUAGCUGGUAGGUGGGGUAACGGCUCACCUAGGCGACGAUCCCUAGCUGGUCUGAGAGGAUGACCAGCCACACUGGAACUGAGACACGGUCCAGACUCCUACGGGAGGCAGCAGUGGGGAAUAUUGCACAAUGGGCGCAAGCCUGAUGCAGCCAUGCCGCGUGUAUGAAGAAGGCCUUCGGGUUGUAAAGUACUUUCAGCGGGGAGGAAGGGAGUAAAGUUAAUACCUUUGCUCAUUGACGUUACCCGCAGAAGAAGCACCGGCUAACUCCGUGCCAGCCGCCGCCGUAA